CAGCCGCCGCGGUAAUACGAAGGGUGCAAGCGUUAAUCGGAAUUACUGGGCGUAAAGCGUGCGUAGGCGGUUUGUUAAGUCUGUUGUGAAAUCCCCGGGCUCAACCUGGGAAUGGCAAUGGAUACUGGCAAGCUAGAGUGUGUCAGAGGAUGGUGGAAUUCCCGGUGUAGCAGUGAAAUGCAUAGAGAUCGGGAGGAACAUCAGUGGCGAAGGCGGCCAUCUGGGACAACACUGACGCUCAGGUACGAAAGCGUGGGGAGCAAACAGGAUUAGAUACCUCCGUAGUCCCUGUCUCUUAUAU
This 301-nucleotide ribosomal RNA is filed under the name uncultured bacterium. Its description in RNAcentral is "partial 16S ribosomal RNA". It matches the Rfam family "Bacterial small subunit ribosomal RNA", at positions 509 to 809 of the family's 1533-position model. The record is from RNAcentral.